This 4771-nucleotide long non-coding RNA is filed under the name Gallus gallus (chicken). RNAcentral's name for it is "lncRNA (ENSGALG00010003188.1)". The record is from RNAcentral. Lineage: Eukaryota; Metazoa; Chordata; Aves; Galliformes; Phasianidae.
UAACUUUCUAUGCAUCUGGACGAAGAGCGUGUGGCUGGAUGUGCUUAUUCUGUCUAUGCAAGUCUUCCUGCAGGGAUUGAUUACCCCAGUUCAGCUGUCAGGGAGCAGAAAGAAUUAAACCAAAGUCUCCUGGAUCCCAGGAAAAUGGCAUUACCGAUACCUCAACAUUUGGAGCAUCACUGUUAACUCUGCUGCAAUGGAGCCUGAGGAUGGAGCAUGGAGCAUAUAAACUACAGGAUUGCAAUCCAAGAUAACUCGCACAGUUUAAAAUCCCCUAAGUCAUCAGUAAUAGAAUUCUUGCCAAACUCAAUCACUCCCACCCAAAGCUGAAUUAACUUGCCUCCACUGCAGUAACAGCAAUAUUUUUGCUCUGUCUCAAUACAGACUGAGGGAAAAUGAUGUAAUUGAGUAAAACCUUUAUACUUAUCUGCCUCCAGAGUUUCACUUUGGGCAAUCUACCACUAGAUAUGUAAGUACACAUUUCAAAUCAGUAACCCAAAACUUUCAAACACCUCUGCUUUUGAUUUAGAUAUAUGUUGUCAUUGGCCAUCUAGGUAUUAAAAGACAUUGACUGCACCCAUUCUUAUUAAAAGUUUCAACACAAACUAAGAUAGUCAUGUGCUAUACAUGCAUUUUGGGUCUCAGUGUCCUGAUCUCCCCUCAAGUAGAAAACUGCCUCAGAGGUGUGAAUGGAUUUAUAUGAAGAACAUUCUGUAGAAGCUGAGGUCCAGGUUUAAACAUAGACUUUAAUCGGUGUAGCGGAGAUGGUGGGCAUCGAAGAAGUAGCAUCCUGUUAGCCAAGCCUCCAUGUUUGAACUAUGGCACAGGGCUAGAGCUUCAUGUGCUAUUCAGUUUGCCCAUGGAAAACUGCCCAGACUGCAGACUGUCAGUUUUACAUUCACUUGCAAACAAGUAAGUCAGUGUAUGUAGGAGAAUGGCACAAAGAAACAAUGCUACUCCCUGCCUCAUGCUUGUUGUCAAGUCCCAAAGUACACAACUACCCCACCUUCACAGGGAGAAGAAUAAAUGGAAGUGAUGUCUUACUGGAUCAAAUGUUAUCUUCUUUCUCCUUUAUGUCUUUGUUAUUAGUAAUAAACAAAAGCGAGUUUAGCUUGUUCUUAAAAACGACAAACUCUUCUGUUCUGCUCGUGUCAUCAGGACUCAUUGUUUGGGAUUGUUUACCCUUUGCUAGGAGCUAUGAUGACUUUGCAGGACUUGGAGAGCAUGAAGUGAACUGUCCUGGCUUACUCACUGAGGUGUGGCUGGCACUAAAUGUACAAGAAAACAUAUUUAAAGUAACAGUGCAUGUAAAUCUCGUAGCUCUACUUUUUCACUUUAUCAUCUGAAUACUUCAGUAUGAGAGGAAAAAUGAAGAAUGAUUCUCUUUUUGUAACAUCUGUCUCAGGAGGACACCUUCCCAGUGCACAUAGGACUCAACUUUGAGAUAUUUUCUUUUCAAGAGACAUGGGAGUUUUGAACCAGAGAAAAACAAUUUCUGCGCGAGGUUAACAAAAAUGUACAAUAAUUCUUAAGUCUUCCUGAAGUUCAUAUCCUCAUUUUGCCAUUCCAGGUAAUUUUUAUGGAGGUCUUCAUAACUUGGGAGACGAGAGAUCACCGUCUUUCUGAUCUCAUGUAUUACCUGGCAUACAGUUAGAAAAGUUGCGGUGUUGUCCCACCAAUAACCACCAUGGUUAUGGCUGUCCCAGAGAAUUGUAUUCAGAGCGCUGUGUUCAGGGCAGACAGGGGUGAAGCUGUGAUAUUCUGGCACAAGUUGUUCUUAUUCUUUAGGCUCCAAUUGGAACAGAGCUCUUGGUUAGCCCCUUCUUCUGUAAAAGAGUUUGUACAUCCAGGCCUAAAAUGCUUUAUUAUAUCAUUUGAAAAUCUUUUAAAUUCACUCAUAUGGACUGGAAAUACAAUAAUUACAUAAUAUCAGCAAUAGCACUAUAAUAAAGCAAACUAGGACAUCCAGGCUGGUACACUCUAAGGUUAAACAUGAUAUCAGAAAAUUAAUUUUACAUAGCUUUGCUGCUGCACAAUCCAGGGCAUGGUGACAAAUGGAACAAGGUCAGUCCAGCGGGAAACACCAAGAGAAAUACCAAGUGGAGCCAGGAAAUUGCUGUCAGGCAGCAAUGACAUCAGCCCGCAGCCCUUGCCAGCCUCCCUUGCACCAUGGCCACAGAUCCAGAUUGCUGCACUGGAAAGGGCCGCUCCCUUCCCGUUAAAUCACAGCACACAGGACCAACUCAAAAAUGUUUUUUUCAUUGUUUUUUAGACAAUUUGGAAGAGUGGUAUGAGCACUUCUCAUCUAAUGUUGUAUGUGCAGUUCAUUUGUUUACGUCACCAAAGUAUUCAGCAUUUCAGAUGAACUCCUUUCUUCUUGCCCUACUGUGGUUCACUCUGCAAUUUUUCUUGCUUUCUCCUGAUCCUGUUAAAAGCUCCUGAUCUAAAACAUAGAUUAUCCCUUCCACCAUGUGGCUUGUUACCUCUCACCUUUAUGCCACAUCCACUCCUGCAGCUGUUUCUCCAGGCUCCUUUUGAGAGUGUAUAUAAUAUCUGUUUUCCUGAAUAAAGAAUCUGUCAUAACGGAGGUCAGAAGGAUGAGGAGUCCAAUUGCUAAUUCAGUUUUGGUGCUUUCUUGGCUUGUUCUUUUCAUAAAUAGUAGAAAAUGUUCUUCAAUUAAUGACUGAUAUGUUUUCAAAGUUUAAGAAUUUAAAAAAAUACUAUGUGGGAAAUGGAAUUUAAUCUUCCCAAAGGAGACACUGGCUUUCAGUUUUCAGGUAUUUAAAUAUGCCUAAAAAUCACUGAUGGUUAAAAAGUACUUCAAUCAAGAAUGUUUGGAUGGCUUACAAGAGUCAAACUAGAGGUUAAUUUAAGUAUUUUAAGUUACAGAACCUUCAAAAGACAGUGACAGCUGAAAUAACUGAGUAGUUUUAUGUAGUAAUCAAUACAAUAGCUGGAAAAGCAUGAGAAGGGAUAUUUAUACGUUUCAGAACUCAUGGUAGCUCAGUAGUAAAAAACAGAAGUAAUGUUUUUAUUGAAAGAGAAGUUUUCUUUUCCUCGGGAUAGACAGCAUGCUUUCCAGUACAAUUAGAAAAAAUUCUGUGAAGAUAAGGUACUUCAAUUUUAGCAUGAGGUAAACUCAGCAAAAUCAGGUAAGUUGUCCUGAUUGGGGGUUACUGAGUUAUCUUGGAAUACAGCUAGAGAUCUCUUCUGUUUUUACAUUGGAAUACCUCACAUAAAUUAGUAUUACAACUUUGUUACACUGUAGUGGAUAUGAAUAUGAAAAGUAAAUUCUUUCACUUACUUUUUUUAUCAUGAGACUUAAAAAUCACAGGCACUCUCUUAGAAGUUAUUUAUUUAUUUAUUGUACCUAACACACAGCAUCUUGUCACACACUCUGUCAUAAUUUUGGUGAACGUGUUCCAGACUGAAUUUUGAUGAAAAAGGAAGAAGGAAAAGAAAAGGAAGGGAAGGGAAACGAAGAGAAGAGAAAAAGAAAACAAAGAAAAAAGUCAAAUACAUUGUUAACUGAAAGAUGGUCUUAUUGCUAUAGCUGUAUUUUUGGAUUUGCAAACCCUCCUGUUUUUUUCCUGCAGUUGACCUGAAAGAUCUUCUAUUUGUUUCACUCUGCCUUUCUGUCACUUGUACUAGUUAUAACCUCAGUCUGCAAAUAGCUUCAUUCUCACUUUUUGUCUUUUUCUCAGAUCUUUACUACAUACAGUCUCUGCCUAUUUACAGUAAGGAUAUCAAGUUCAUUCAUUUCUGACAUAGCAAUAAAAUACGCCAUAAAAAUAGACACAAUUUUCUGCUGGAAUUACAUGAGAAUAUUUGAGUGCUGAAUUUAUCUCUUCUGUAGUUUUGAUCAACAUUCUAGAAAAAAUAAUCCUGGAAAAAAUGAGUAGUACAUUGAAAAAGAUAUGGAAAAUAAUUAAUUAAGAACAGAUAGUACAAAUAGAAACUUGUGAGUACAUUGAAAUGGGAUCUUACACCAUGGUCCAUGGUUUAGUCUUCUCAUGCCUUCCAAGAAUAACUUUGAACCCAUGUUCUAAAAAAUAACUCUAAACUGUGCUGGCAUAUUUGAAUGAAAGAUAUAUAGCAGUUUUUGGGGGUUUUGGACAGUCUAGGGUCUGUUUGCUUGCUCAUUUAUCUUUUCUUUCCAAAUUGAAAACCUGAAUUUAUGUAAUUUAAUGUUGCAUUCAUACUUUUAAACCUGAUAUAUAACAUUUAAUUUAAUUUUCUGGAGAGGUUGGACAGCUUUGCCAUUUAUUUUAAACUGCUGAGUUUAUUUGUCAUAAAAAAUGAUUUCCUCCUUUUAAGAGAGGUUAAUAUUAGCUGAAUCAACAUUAGUUUAUUACUACACUUAGUUGAUUUGACUCCAUUUUUUGGGUAAUGUGUAAAUUACCUUUUCAAUGUUAUCCAGCUCAAGUUUUAGUACACUAGCUUUUGUUUUCUUAUAUAGAAGUCAAACUGGUUAUUUAUUCCCGUAAGUUUGACAUUGUUAAAAAUUCAUUUAGUAUUGAUUCAUCCAUAUUUGUUUCAAACAUAUAUUUAAAUUAUGUAAUUUCUUUUGAUAUUGACUGGAGCAGUAAAUGUCAUUAAAAAUUCCUCCCUUCAAAUAGAAACAGCUUCACAGAGCUUGAUCUGCCGUGACACAAUUACAGCUGUUCCAGCUCCUGAGGAAUGUAUUUCCAUUAAAGAGUCAUUAGAUAAAAAUGCACAAUCAGCUCCUCAGCAGGAACAAGAACCAAGACCACUCAUCAAGACAUAGGAG